Molecule: long non-coding RNA, 355 nt
Filed under: Sorghum bicolor (sorghum)
Lineage: Eukaryota; Viridiplantae; Streptophyta; Magnoliopsida; Poales; Poaceae
Description: long non-coding RNA (SBIC_LNC003858)
Source: RNAcentral
GAAACCUGAAGCCACUUCCCAGCCCGCUCCGCCCCUCGCCGCGAUUUCCUCACAUGGCAGCGCUGCUUCUCCGCGAGUCACUCGAGAGGAACGACGGCCCCUGCUUCUGCUUCUCCGACCCCUGUCCCUGCGCCGACACGCGUCGCCCCUGUUCCGAUCUCGCCGCCCCCGCCGCCGGUCCCUUCUCCUCCCUCCGCGUCCAUCGCACCUGCUCCUGAUCCCGCUCUCUUUCCUCCCUUCUCCCGCCGUUAUUUGUGAUUGCGGCUCUGAUUCUUGCUUCCACGGUCUGUCUCGCGGUUCCUGGGAGCUUCUGAGUUCUGGUUCUGUCCCUGACCGGUGUUGCCAUGGGGAAGAG